This 405-nucleotide long non-coding RNA is filed under the name Homo sapiens (human). RNAcentral describes it as "non-protein coding lnc-CTDSP2-1:6". Lineage: Eukaryota; Metazoa; Chordata; Mammalia; Primates; Hominidae. The record is from RNAcentral.
AGAGCAGAGAGGCCCGCGAGAGGGAAAGCUGGCCCAGGCCCAGGGCAGGCUCGCCUCUGACUCUGCAGGGACAUUAUUCCCUCCCAGCCAGCAGGGAACUUCUGGAACUUCUAAACAGCACAUCCUCGAGCCAGCCCAGGCCCCCACAGCAUCCUGCACCCCAGGUUUACAAGCUUUUUAAUGAUGGAGUUUUGCUCUUACGCCCAGGCUGGAAUGAAGUGGCAUGAUCUUGGCUCACUGCAACCUCUGCCCCACCAAAAUUCAAGCAAUUCUCCUGCCUCAGCCUCCCGAGUAGCUGGGAUUACAGGCAUGCACCACCACACCUGCCUAAUUUUUGUAUUUUUAGUAGAGAUGGGGUUUUGCCAUGUUGCCCAGGCUGGUCUCGAACUCCUGACCUCAAUUGAU